CCCUAGCCCAGAUUGCAGAGAAAAUCCUUUUUUGAAAAAAAAGAUUGUAACGGAAAGCUGGAAAUUGC
Molecule: non-coding RNA, 68 nt
Organism: Chryseobacterium sp.
Lineage: Bacteria; Pseudomonadati; Bacteroidota; Flavobacteriia; Flavobacteriales; Weeksellaceae
Source: Rfam